AUUGAACGCUGGCGGUAUGCCUUACACAUGCAAGUCGAACGGUAGAGGGGCAACCCUUGUGAGUGGCGAACGGGUGAGUAAUACAUCGGAACGUGCCCAGUCGUGGGGGAUAACGUAGCGAAAGCUACGCUAAUACCGCAUACGACCUGAGGGUGAAAGCGGGGGAUCGCAAGACCUCGCGCGAUUGGAGCGGCCGAUGGCAGAUUAGGUAGUUGGGGAGGGAAAGGAUCACCAAGGCGACGAUCUGUAGCGGGUCGUAGAGGAUGAUCCGCCACACUGGAACUGAGACGCGGUCCAGACUCCUACGGGAGGCAGCAGUGGGGAAUUUUGGACAAUGGGGGCAACCCUGAUCCAGCCAUGCCGCGUGAGUGAAGAAGGCCUUCGGGUUGUAAAGCUCUUUCGGCCGGGAAGAAAUCGCACGGGCUAAUACCCUGUGUGGAUGACGGUACCGGAAUAAGAAGCACCGGCUAACUACGUGCCAGCCGCCGCGGUAA
This 494-nucleotide ribosomal RNA is filed under the name uncultured bacterium. RNAcentral's name for it is "partial 16S ribosomal RNA". It matches the Rfam family "Bacterial small subunit ribosomal RNA", at positions 29 to 523 of the family's 1533-position model. The record is from RNAcentral.